GGAAAAACAAAGUCUAUUCGUCCCUAUUUUCUGUUGGUAAAAUUCAGUGUUGGGGAGGUCUACAUCCUCAAGAAUAUUCAAUAUUAAAUAGCACUCAGAUGGAGCUAAAUGGAAUGCCACAAUCAUUACCAGGCAAGUCAGGAAGUGAAGUGCUCUAAAGGCUAGCUCCUGUAUCAUCAUCAGGCUCGGGAGUCUGGAAGGGACUAGUUAAGGUUCCAAACCCCUAAACCAGCUGUGGGAGGGUCAAUUACUAACAGCACAGUGACAGAAAUCUACUUCCUGCUCACAGGCCAAUGCUUCUCCAGCCCUUCAAGCAGAAGUGGCACCACUUGAGAGAGGCCUGCAUAUAUUUUCUUCUAGAAAUGUACCAAAAAAUGCCUUUUAAUGAUUUUCUACAUUUUCAGAAGGAACCUCAGUUUCUCAAGAGCUAACAAGCAUUUGGAUGCAGAAGCUGAGUAAUGUCACAAGCAGCCAACCAGCCAAGUCAUCACCUACAUCAAGGAGUUGAGAGAAUCUCAGCAAUGUGGAGUCUCUUAAGAACCCACCAACCCCCCACUGAAGAAAGUUCUAGCAAAUCGUGCAUCUGUCACAAUUGUUAUUAAAUUGUCCCUGAUGACAAAGUACAACCAUAAGUAAAUUUGUGUUCUCCUCCCUCACAUCCUGCGUCUUUCAGUCUCAAGUAGGAGCUGAUGAGCAGGGGAAGUGAGAGAGUGAAAAACAGAGACGGUACCCACACUUUCCUUCUCUAUCACAGCAUCCUACUUAAGGGAAGUUCACGCUGAGAGUGGAGAAAAUCUUUAAACUGGAUGAGAAUUUAGAUUUCUGAUUCACUCUCCCUUUCAACAAAUACGUAUUGAGCGGGAGUCUACAAUGUCCUUGCCACUGUUUUAGGUUCAAGGAAUAAAUUGGUAAACACACCCACACACGCAGAAAAAGAAAAGAACAAAGUCCUUGCCUUCAAGGGACUUACUAGGGAAGGCAGACAGAAAAUAGACAAACUCAGUGUUAUCCCUUAGAAGGCAGAAAAAGACAGCAGGAAGGAGAAUCUGGAAUGCUAGAGUGGAAGUGAGGUCUGAAUUUGUCAAUAAGAUGGUCAAGGAAGAUGAGAUUUGAGCAAAGACUUGAUGGAUGUGACACCUGCCCUGACUAGACUUUCUAGUACCUAAGAAAAAAAAGAUUUUAUCAUCUGAGAAUGAUUGGGAAAGCUAUGGAAGUUACACAAAUUUUAAUCUAGAGGCAGGAAAGGAUAUUCCACAGAGUGAAUUUAGUAGAGACUGGCAAGAGAGAAUAAAGUAUCCUAUUCAGUUCAAACUGACUCACUUGAAUGAAGUGACUAUAUAUAAUUUAAGGACAAGAGCUUCUAGAACCAGAGUUUGCAACUGCCAACAUCCUAAAUACUUAAAAUGCACUUGUUCAAUGUUCCAUUUGCACUCAGAAAAAAAUAUCUCUACUUGCAGGGUCCUAUCUAAGUGCCUGUGUAGCUUCCUGUACAGCUCUUUGCACAAUUGGACUCUUAUAAUACAAGAAUGGUUCCACAAUUUGCAGGAGGGAAACAAGGCUAUUAUUUGAGUUAAGAGUGUAGCUCAUCUCUGGGUUUUGUAGAUAAGAGUGCACUUUUCAGGUGGAUGCCUAGAGGACUGGUUUUCUAUAAAUUCAUUGUGUUCCUAAAGGUCAGAGUUUUGUCUCUUGCUUCCUUGAGAUACAGCAUUAGUAUCACAAGACAGGCCCCCACUUUAUAUUCAUAAUUCAUCAGCUCAUGGAAUGAUUUAAAAAGAGAACUGCUCUGUUGCACUUGGCAUUUUGUCAAUACAAAAUAUUAACAUGCUCACAAUUAUAAACAAAGGAUAUAAUGCUACUUUUCCCAACUUUGGGAUCUAAUUCAUGUCUCAGAUAAGUAAGGCUAAUUCUGAAGCUUAUAGGUUGGUGGAGAGAAUUCUAAGCACAAUUUUUUUAGGCCUACAAUUUUAUAAAUAAAUAGAUUACCUGUCUUCACCCCAGAACAUCAGAAAUCUGAGGCCUAAUACUUUCUUUUGUUUACUAUUGUCAAAAAAAAGGAGUAAAUUUUUCAACAUAUCUCAGAAUUUUUGUGUAAUAAAGUAUAUAAUUAAAUGUAUUCACCUAUCACAUAGAUAAAAUGUAUCUUUUGUAACAUAACCAUAUAAAUUUUGGUGUCACAUACUUAGUGUUAUAGAGGCGAGAGAGACUUUUCAGACCCAGACUAACAUGAAACAGCAGUGCAAGAACAGAGGGGAAAAAAAAUAAUUAUUUAACGUUUUUCUUUGUAGAUGUCUCAUUUGCACUAUUUUAGUUAUAUAUCACAACUAUUUUAUGUAGAGUCAUACUCUUAUCCUAAUUUUACAGAUGAGGAAACUGAGGCCGAAAUGGAUCAAGUAACUUGUCGAAAGUCAUAGGGCAAAUAAACAAUAGAGUCCUUCUGUGUGGCUCCAAACCCUGACUUUAUUGUAGCUGCUGGGUUUUACCAAAAUCUGAGUUAUUUUGACAAGAAAAGAGCACCUUCAAUAUUAUCUAUAGCUUUUCUUAUUCAGAUGUUUCUGCUGUCAGGGAUUUCUAAAGCUUGCUAGGAAAGCUUGCAUUAAAAAAAUUCGAGCCCUAAAAUUCUCCUUCCUGUGACCUGGACUGAGAGGUCCCUAGUCCUGUGUUUUUAGGAUGGUUUAGCAAUAAAUGAUUCAAAUGAAAAGUAGGUAGUUAAGAGACCACAUUGAGAGAGAGCCUCAAUUCAAAAGAAAUUGCUGAGGUCAAUGUAUAUUAUGGAAAUGAUUUUCUUCCUUUUCUUUGCGCCACUAGCACAUGUGGCUUACCCGAAUCUUUCACUAAAUUUAUGUACCUCGAAGUAGGACAUGUUCUAUAAAUCUAGCCGGUCCUUUGAUGCAUAUCAGUUGAGAGCCUAGCAGGAAUCCACACAAUAACAAGUGAAGCGUUUAAGAGAUUGAGAGUUUAAAA
This is a long non-coding RNA of Equus caballus (horse), 2961 nucleotides long. The record is from Ensembl. NCBI's taxonomy places the organism in Eukaryota, Metazoa, Chordata, Mammalia, Perissodactyla, Equidae.